This 494-nucleotide ribosomal RNA is filed under the name uncultured bacterium. RNAcentral's name for it is "partial 16S ribosomal RNA". It matches the Rfam family "Bacterial small subunit ribosomal RNA", at positions 28 to 506 of the family's 1533-position model. The record is from RNAcentral.
GACGAACGCUGGCGGCGUGCCUAAUACAUGCAAGUAGAACGCUGAAGGAGGAGCUUGCUUCUCUGGAUGAGUUGCGAACGGGUGAGUAACGCGUAGGUAACCUGCCUGGUAGUGGGGGAUAACUAUUGGAAACGAUAGCUAAUACCGCAUAAUAGCAGUUGUUGCAUGAUAACUGUUUGAAAGGUGCAAUUGCACCGCUACCAGAUGGACCUGCGUUGUAUUAGCUAGUUGGUGGGGUAACGGCUCACCAAGGCGACGAUACAUAGCCGACCUGAGAGGGGGAUCGGCCCCACUGGGACGGAGACACGGCCCAGACUCCUACGGGAGGGCGCAGUAGGGAAUCUUCGGCAAUGGGCGGAAGUCUGACCGAGCAACGCCGCGUGAGUGAAAAAGGUUUUCGGAUCGUAAAGCUCUGUUGUAAGGGAAGAACGAGUGUGGGAGUGGAAAGUCCCCCCGUUGCGGGUAUUUUCCCAAAAAGGGACGGCAAACAACGU